Molecule: long non-coding RNA, 1140 nt
Organism: Magnolia sinica
Lineage: Eukaryota; Viridiplantae; Streptophyta; Magnoliopsida; Magnoliales; Magnoliaceae
Exons: 4
Source: RefSeq, a predicted model, not a curated record
ACUGUCUGCACCGCCACACGUGACCGAUGACGACUGGCGGAUACUCUGCGAUAGAUUUUCAUCUGAUUCUUUUCAGGUAAUAUUUACAUAUUUACGAUAUCUUAAGGUAACAAUUGAAUUCGCAAUUAAUAACAAUGUAUUAUGACUAAUGUGUUCAGAAGAGAAGCAAAAUAAAUUCUGACAACAGGGAAAAGUUAGAAGUGAACCACGUAUCUAGUUUAAAGUCAUUUGCAGAAAUUCGUCACAACAUGUGAGAUUCCGUCAUUGGCCAGGAGCCCGGACCAGUAGACCUAUACAAAGGGACUCACUGUCGACAGGCGACGGGAUCUUGGGUACAUCCUAGAGCCGGCGAGAUUCGGGCGGCGAUGGACACCUUACACAAUCAGCCCACUCCCGAUGGUACUCAGCGGAGUGAGCCAGAGAUCCUGAGUGAGGUGCUUCCCACCCGUUCUGGAUAUGUGCGUGGGCUUGGCUAUGGUGCCAAGCUCAUGGCACCCACUAGAGCUGUCUCCACUCGAUCCAUUGUCGUUGGUGAGAGUGCCACCCGCUGAACUGAUAUCGCAGAGAAAGAGGUUCAGCAGCUACAAGUCGUCGUCCAUGACAUCAGAGAGCAGCUAGAGAAGAAGAGUGAGCAGCUGGAGAGGCAGAUGGAAGAGCAGGAGAGGAGGAUGGAGGAUCUGACGAGGCAGAGGGAGGAGCAGGAGAGGGGGAUGGAGGAUUAGACGAGGCAGAGGGAGGAGCAGGAGAGGAGGAGGAUGGAGGAGCAGGCGAGGGGGAGAGGAGCAGGAGAGGAGGAUGGAGGAGAUGCGGGUGGAGCAUGAGCGACGGAUGACGGAGAUGUUUCAGGCUUUCGUUGCACGCUUACCCACUGAUGCUCCACCGCUUCCGCUCUCAUCUUUGUGAUUUUUUGGUAUUUUUGUUUAUGAUGUUAAGCUUAUAUGUAUUUAUGUAUGAAUGAAUGUGAUGUGGAUAAGAUUGUUUAUGUUUGGAUGAAUGUAGUUUAUGUUUGGAUGGAUUUACUAGUUUGGGUUUAGAUGGAUGUGAAUAUGAAUAUGAUGAAAUAUAUUAUAUAACAGGUGUAUAUCAGGAUGAAUAUGAUGAAAUAUAUUGUAACAGGUGUAUAUCAGGAAUUUUGUGCGG